Molecule: long non-coding RNA, 618 nt
Filed under: Felis catus (domestic cat)
Lineage: Eukaryota; Metazoa; Chordata; Mammalia; Carnivora; Felidae
Description: lncRNA (ENSFCAG00000042314.2)
Source: RNAcentral
GUUGAGGCCGGAAGGGUUAAGCCCGUCGCCCACGAUGCAGCCAGCAAGAGGCUGACGUAGUCUGACCCUGCACUGCCAUGCUGUGGGGGCCGGUGCAGGCUGGAGAAGCAGUUUUCCACCCAUCCCGGGCAGCUGCAUGUGUGAUGGUUCUCUCGUCGAACCCACUCCUGUGGUGGACACUGCAUCAUGCACAAGCCUCAGAGGGCCAGUUAUGGGACUGGCUCCACAAGACAAGUGGGUCCCAGCAGAAAGAAGAAUGUCUUCACCUCACUGGCUCUCCAAUGAUGCCAUCAACACUUGCUUCUUUAAGUUGCCUGACAACGUGGCCUAGAAGCACUGUCUCCCUGGGAACUGCCAGCUCCGAGGUAAGGAUUGGGUGCUCUGGAGGGCAUAGAGGGCACUCCCUGUCUCUGUGCCUGGCAGCCUGGCUCAGUGUGGGUUCUGGAGCCCAACUCCUCACUUCAAAUUCUGGCUCCAUUAUUUACAACUCAUGUGCCCAUGAGCAAGUUAUUCAGCCCCUCCGUGCCUCCGUUUCCUCAUCUGUAAGAUUGGGCUAAUACUAUCUUCAUAUGGUUAGUGAGGGUGUAAUAAAAUGAUGCACAUAAAAUGCUUAGAACA